UACGGGGGGGGCAAGCGUUGUUCGGAAUUACUGGGCGUAAAGGGCUCGUAGGCGGCCAACUAAGUCCGACGUGAAAUCCCCAGGCUUAACCUGGGAACUGCGUCGGAUACUGGAUGGCUUGAAUUCGGGAGAGGGAUGCAGAAUUCCAGGUGUAGCGGUGAAAUGCGUAGAUAUCUGGAGGAACACCGGUGGCGAAGGCGGCAUCCUGGACCGACACUGACGCUGAGGAGCGAAAGCCAGGGGAGCAAACGGG
Molecule: ribosomal RNA, 253 nt
Filed under: uncultured bacterium
Lineage: Bacteria
Description: partial 16S ribosomal RNA
Rfam family: Bacterial small subunit ribosomal RNA
Source: RNAcentral